UGCUUCUAGUCUGCCCUGGAAUAACCC
Molecule: non-coding RNA, 27 nt
Filed under: Mus musculus (house mouse)
Lineage: Eukaryota; Metazoa; Chordata; Mammalia; Rodentia; Muridae
Source: RNAcentral